Molecule: ribosomal RNA, 426 nt
Filed under: uncultured bacterium
Lineage: Bacteria
Description: partial 16S ribosomal RNA
Rfam family: Bacterial small subunit ribosomal RNA
Source: RNAcentral
GUGAGGAAUUUUCCGCAAUGGGCGAAAGCCUGACGGAGCAAUGCCGCGUGAAGGAUGAAGGCCUAUGGGUUGUAAACUUCUUUUCUCAGAAAAGAAUUAUGACGGUAUCUGAGGAAUAAGCAUCGGCUAACUCUGUGCCAGCAGCCGCGGUAAGACAGAGGAUGCAAGCGUUAUCCGGAAUGAUUGGGCGUAAAGCGUCUGUAGGUUGUUUAAAAAGUAUUCUGUCAAAGAUUAGGGCUUAACCCUAGAUAGGCAGAAUAAACUUUUAAGCUAGAGUUUGGUAGAGGCAGAGGGAAUUCCCGGUGGAGCGAUGAAAUGCGUAGAUAUCGGGAGGAACACCAAAGGCGAAGGCACUCUGCUGGGCCAAUACUAACACUGAGAGACGAAAGCGAGGGGAGCAAAUGGGAUUAGAAACCCCGGUAGUCC